AUGCCGCGUGCAGGAAGACUGCCCUAUGGGUUGUAAACUGCUUUUAUAUAGGAAGAAACCUACUUACGUGUAAGUAGCUGACGGUACUAUAAGAAUAAGGAUCGGCUAACUCCGUGCCAGCAGCCGCGGUAAUACGGAGGAUCCAAGCGUUMUYCGGAAUCAUUGGGUUUAAAGGGUCCGUAGGUGGAUAAUUAAGUCAGAGGUGAAAUCUUGCAGCUCAACUGUAAAAUUGCCUUUGAUACUGGUUAUCUUGAGUUAUUAUGAAGUAGUUAGAAUAUGUAGUGUAGCGGUGAAAUGCAUAGAUAUUACAUAGAAUACCAAUUGCGAAGGCAGAUUACUAAUAAUCAACUGACACUGAUGGACGAAAGCGUGGGUAGCGAACAGGAUUAGAUACCCUGGUAGUCCACGCCGUAAACGAUGGUUACUAGCUGUUUGGACCUUGUGUCUGAGUGGCUAAGCGAAAGUGAUAAGUAACCCACCUGGGGAGUACGUUCGCAAGAAUGAAACUCAAAGGAAUUGACGGGGGCCCGCACAAGCGGUGGAGCAUGUGGUUUAAUUCGAUGAUACGCGAGGAACCUUACCAGGGCUUAAAUGUAAGUUGCAUUAGUUAGAGAUAGCUAUUUCUUCGGACCACUUACAAGGUGCUGCAUGGUUGUCGUCAGCUCGUGCCGUGAGGUGUCAGGUUAAGUCCUAUAACGAGCGCAACCCCUGUUGUUAGUUGCCAGCGAGUCAUGUCGGGAACUCUAACAAGACUGCCGGUGCAAACCGUGAGGAAGGUGGGGAUGACGUCAAAUCAUCACGGCCCUUACGUCCUGGGCUACACACGUGCUACAAUGGUCGGUACAGAGAGCAGCCACUACGCGAGUAGGAGCGAAUCUUCAAAGCCGAUCACAGUUCGGAUCGGAGUCUGCAACUCGACUCCGUGAAGCUGGAAUCGCUAGUAAUCGGAUAU
This 952-nucleotide ribosomal RNA is filed under the name uncultured Flavobacteriaceae bacterium. RNAcentral's name for it is "bacterial SSU rRNA". It matches the Rfam family "Bacterial small subunit ribosomal RNA", at positions 394 to 1349 of the family's 1533-position model. Lineage: Bacteria; Pseudomonadati; Bacteroidota; Flavobacteriia; Flavobacteriales; Flavobacteriaceae. The record is from RNAcentral.